This 492-nucleotide ribosomal RNA is filed under the name uncultured bacterium. RNAcentral describes it as "partial 16S ribosomal RNA". It matches the Rfam family "Bacterial small subunit ribosomal RNA", at positions 29 to 507 of the family's 1533-position model. The record is from RNAcentral.
AGUGAACGCUGGCGGUAGGCCUAACACAUGCAAGUCGAACGGCAGCACAGUAAGAGCUUGCUCUUACGGGUGGCGAGUGGCGGACGGGUGAGGAAUACAUCGGAAUCUACUUUUUCGUGGGGGUUAACGUAGGGAAACUUACGCUCAUACCGCAUACGACCUACGGGUGAAAGCAGGGGAUCUUCGGACCUUGCGCGAUUGAAUGAGCCGAUGUCGGAUUAGCUAGUUGGCGGGGUAAAGGCCCACCAAGGCGACGAUCCGUAGCUGGUCUGAGAGGAGGGUCAGCCACACUGGAGCUGGGACACGGUCCAGACUCCUACGGGAGGCAGCAGUGGGGAAUAUGGGACAAUGGGCGGAAGCCUGAUCCAGCCAUACCGCGUGGGUGAAGAAGGCGUUCGGGUUGUAAAGCCCUUUUGUUGGGAAAGAAAAGCAGCAGGUUAAUACCCCGCUGUUCUGACGGUACCCAAAGAAUAAGCACCGGCUAACUUCGUG